Molecule: non-coding RNA, 21 nt
Filed under: Mus musculus (house mouse)
Lineage: Eukaryota; Metazoa; Chordata; Mammalia; Rodentia; Muridae
Source: RNAcentral
UUGUGCAAUUUACCCCAGACA